GGAGGCUGAAGGGGGUGCGGCUUGGAAUAAUACUGUAAUCAAACAGGAGGGCUGGGGCCGAAUGUGGGAGACGCUUAGGAGUUUUGUGUCUACAGGGUUCACAGAGCAAGAAGGGAGGGCGAGUUCAGGGGGUCGGAAGGCUGGUCGCUGCCGCUGGGGCGAUGGGCGCUGGCGAACGCGGAGACCUCCGGGCAGCUGAUCUGUCUCCUGAGCCCCCGGUAGCCAGGUCAUGGAGAAGAUGAAGGAAGGACAAGAAGACCGUCAGCGACUGGAGAAGGUGGGUCGUGGCUAAAGCCAUCAUCACCCUUAGACUUGCUGCAAAGGCCCAGGGCUGGAAGGCAGCUCUGAACUGAGGGGACAGUCUCUCUGAAAUGGAGUCCCGGUGUGCUAUGGAACUUGGGGCUAGGGUCUUGCCCUUUAGGAGCCUCAGUUUCCCCAUUUGCCCAGUAGAUGGUUGGGAAGCAGCCAGGAGAAGAUGGAAGUCUCUGGUUGCAGG
This is a long non-coding RNA of Phyllostomus discolor (pale spear-nosed bat), 496 nucleotides long. RefSeq lists it as uncharacterized. NCBI's taxonomy places the organism in Eukaryota, Metazoa, Chordata, Mammalia, Chiroptera, Phyllostomidae. The transcript has 3 exons. The record is from RefSeq and is a predicted model, not a curated record.